GACGAACGCUGGCGGCGUGCUUAACACAUGCAAGUCGAACGAAGUGGCGAACGGGUGAGUAACGCGUAAUCAACCUGCCCUUCCGAGGGGGACAACAGUUGGAAACGACUGCUAAUACCGCAUACUGAAGGAGGGGAUUGCGUCUGAUUAGCUAGUUGGGGGGGUAACGGCCCACCAAGGCGAUGAUAAGUAGCCGGUCUGAGAGGAUGAACGGCCACAUUUGGACGGAGACACUGCCCAUACUCCUACGUGAGUCAGCAGUUGGGAAUCUUCCGCAAUGGACGAAAGUCUGACGGAGCAACGCCGCGUGAGUGAUGACGGCCUUCGGGUUGUAAAGCUCUGUUAAUCGGGACGCGGUACCGGAAUAGAAAGCCACGGCUAACUACGUGCCAGCCGCCGCGGUAAUUC
This 408-nucleotide ribosomal RNA is filed under the name uncultured bacterium. RNAcentral describes it as "partial 16S ribosomal RNA". It matches the Rfam family "Bacterial small subunit ribosomal RNA", at positions 28 to 526 of the family's 1533-position model. The record is from RNAcentral.